This 253-nucleotide ribosomal RNA is filed under the name uncultured bacterium. RNAcentral describes it as "partial 16S ribosomal RNA". It matches the Rfam family "Bacterial small subunit ribosomal RNA", at positions 524 to 776 of the family's 1533-position model. The record is from RNAcentral.
UACAGAGGUCCCAAGCGUUGUUCGGAUUCACUGGGCGUAAAGGGUGCGCAGGUGGGCUGGUAAGUUUGAUGUGAAAGCCCCGGGCUUAACCCGGGAAUGGCAUUGAAUACUGCUGGUCUGGAGGGUUGGAGGGGGGACUGGAAUUCUUGGUGUAGCAGUGAAAUGCGUAGAUAUCAAGAGGAACACCAGUGGCGAAGGCGAGUCCCUGGACAAUACCUGACACUGAGGCACGAAAGCUAGGGGAGCAAACAGG